Talpa occidentalis (Iberian mole) is the source of this 908-nucleotide long non-coding RNA. RefSeq lists it as uncharacterized. NCBI's taxonomy places the organism in Eukaryota, Metazoa, Chordata, Mammalia, Eulipotyphla, Talpidae. The transcript is spliced from 4 exons. The record is from RefSeq and is a predicted model, not a curated record.
CUGAGUUCUAAGUAUUUCUAUCACAGGAUUUCUUUACUUUCCUUUUUACAAUAAUAUUUGGAAAUCUGACCUGCCUCUCCCUACCCUCCUUCUACUUCAAAGUUCAUGGAAGGGAAACAAUAUUCUUAUUCCCCCUCCAUCUGCGUCAGCACUGGGAACCUUGAAGAACUGAGCCUUAAAGAACAGGCUGGUUCUUUAAGGAGAGCAUAGGGUAUGCAAUGCUGAAUGACACGUAUGUUCUCUUAUAUGUUGAAAGUAUAUAUGCUGAAACAGCUUGCAUAGCAAAGGCUGUCAGGGGUCAAGGAGGAUGGUUUGGACCCCACCUCAUGCAAGCAGGCUGGGAGCCCAGGAGCUUCCUCUCCUCUGAGCUCAGGCCGGCAGCUGGGACCCCUUCAGGUGCUCCAGAGCUGAGGGGCCCUCUUGGCCCCUGCAUCUCCAUCCCUCUCCACCUCAGCCUUCUCGAGCUCUCCCGCCCACACGAGGAGCCCGUGCUGGAAUCUGGGAUGCUGAUGGCCAUCCAGAGACUUCAGCCUCCACUCCAGCCCGCCCUGAAGAAGCUCCGAGGCCUGGGGACGCGCUGCCGCCUGUGCGCACACGCUCCUGUGGUGAGGGGCGCACGGAUGGGGGGCUGAGGUCAUUUUCACCUGAGGGAAAUGCAACGAAUCCACGAAUCGUACUGCAGCUGUGACCUGCUUGUCAUAGGCUGGGAAUUCUGCUAAAAAUACUGAAACAAACAAAUCCCCAGAAGGGAAUGGGGGGGCAGAGGGAUGUGAGAAAAUACUUGCCGGUAGAAGGAACACUUUCCUUAAAUGCACCCUCAAACGAGUGAUGAGUUUUUCCCCCAGAAAAUUGUUAAAACCUGCUACAUCUCUAAAAAAUAAAAAAACAUAAUUUUCACAACAAAGAAA